RNAcentral lists this ribosomal RNA (375 nucleotides) under uncultured bacterium. RNAcentral describes it as "bacterial SSU rRNA". It matches the Rfam family "Bacterial small subunit ribosomal RNA", at positions 521 to 896 of the family's 1533-position model. The record is from RNAcentral.
UAAGACGAACCGUGCGAACGUUGUUCGGAAUCACUGGGCUUAAAGGGCGCGUAGGCGGACUACCAAGUCAGUGGUGAAAUCCUGCGGCUCAACCGCAGAAGUGCCUUUGAUACUGGUGGUCUCGAGGGAGGUAGGGGCAUGUGGAACUUCCGGUGGAGCGGUGAAAUGCGUAGAUAUCGGAAGGAACGCCGGUGGCGAAAGCGACGUGCUGGACCUCUACUGACGCUGAGGCGCGAAAGCCAGGGGAGCAAACGGGAUUAGAUACCCCGGUAGUCCUGGCCCUAAACGAUGGGUACUAGGUAGUGGACUUACAUGGGUUCACUGCCGAAGCAAAAGUAUUAAGUACCCCGCCUGGGGAGUAUGGUCGCAAGGCUG